AUGAGCAGGUUCAGGAAAGAACCAGUGGUUAUCAUGGCGGACGUCGAAGCAAUGUUUCACCAGGUCCGGGUACCACCAGAGGACGCUGACUUAUUGAGGUUCCUCUGGUGGCCUGCUGGAGAUUUAAGUCAAGAUCAUGUGGACUUCAGGAUGCUGGUGCAUCUCUUUGGGGCAACGUCCUCUCCCAGCUGCGCCAAUUUUGCCCUCAGGAAAUGUGCAGAGGACAACAAAGGACAGUUCAGCCAGGAAGCAAUGGAUAAGGUCCUACAUAGCUUUUAUGUAGAUGAUUGCCUAGUGUCUGUGGCUUCAGAGGAGAAAGCUGUGUCUCUUUAUCAUGAGCUCAUCGCUAUCUGUGCUAAAGGUGGUUUCCGACUCACAAAGUGGAUAAGCAACAGGCGUGAUGUUCUAACUGCAAUACCUGAAGAGCACAGAGCUAAAGACAUGAAAAUGUUGAACAUGGACCUGGAUUUGCCACCUGUGGAGAGAGUGCUUGGUGUGGAGUGGUGCAUUCAGUCUGAUACUUUUAAGUUCAAGAUUGUUGUUAAGGACAGACCACUCACUAGGAGAGGAAUCCUCUCUACAGUUAGCUCCAUCUAUGAUCCUCUUGGUAUCGUGAGUCCUGUCGUCUUGUCCGCAAAGAAGAUCUUAAGGGAUCUGUGUAGGAGAGCACUUGGCUGGGAUGAUGUCAUACCCCAGACCGUGGCUCAGGAGUGGACAAGUUGGCUGGAUGAACUUUUCCAUUUGGAGAAAUGCAACAUCAUGAGGUGUCUGAAACCAUUGGACUUUGGUGAAGUGACUACGGCACAAUUACAUCAUUUCUGUGAUGCAAGCGAGGAUGGCUAUGGAGCAGUGACUUACCUGCUGUCACGAAAUGCACACUCACAGGUGCACAGUGCUUUUGUCAUGGGAAAGGCAAGGGUGGCACCAUUGAAACCUGCUACCAUCCCCCGAAUGGAGCUCAUCGCUGCCACCAUGGCCAGUCGCAUUGAUAUCUUGUGGAAGAAAGAGCUGCACAUGCAUCUUCAAGACUCUGUGUUUUGGACCGACAGUACUUCGGUGCUGAAAUAUAUCAGGAAUGAGACAUCCAGGUUCAGAGUCUUUGUUGCCAACAGAGUCACAGAAAUUCGCAAGGCUUCACAACCCUCUCAGUGGAGGUAUGUUGGAACGGCAAGUAAUCCAGCCGAUGUCGCCUCCAGGGGUGUUAAAGGCGAUGCAUUUCUCAAGGAUGCAACAUGGGUGUCAGGGCCUCGUUUUCUCCUUCAACCUGAGAAUGAGUGGCCUGUCAACCCUGAGAAUGUUCAUCGACUCCCAGCAGAUGACCCUGAGGUCAAGAAGGAAGCCACAGUGAAUACUGUACAGGCCAGUGAGGAGGCUGAUGCAGUAACUCGCAUGAUCCACCACUUCAGCUCUUGGAUCCAUCUGAGAAAGUCUGUAGCUUGGAUCUUGAGAUUUAAAACUUGGCUCUUAUCUCUCUGCCAGAAGAGGAGACAAUUGAAUAUGGCUCUUGCACAAUCUGCGUUGGAUAUGGAACAACAACGACGUUCAUUGGAGAGGGAUAUGGAAACAUUCAAGAGAAAGAUGCUUUCAAGUUGUUUAUCAGUGGAGGAGUUGGAGAAAUCGGAGCUAGAGAUCAUCAAGUUCAGUCAAAGGAGGAGGUUUCCAGAGGAGUUCUCCAUGCUGGAAAAAGGCAAAAGUGUCAAGGGUCAUAGUCACAUCCACACACUCUGCCCACUAAUAAAGGAUGGAGUUCUAAGACUUGGUGGUCGGCUCAGCAGGUCAUCUAUGCCAGCAGAAGCUAAGCAUCCCAUAAUACUGGCAAAAGAUUUACAUAUCUCAACCCUUCUGCUGAGACAUGUCCAUCAAGAGGUGGGACAUAGUGGACGAAACCACAUGUUGUCUAAGCUGCGGGAGAAAUACUGGAUCUCAGGAGCUAGUACAGCCAUAAGGAGUGUUCUGUCAAAGUGUCUGAGCUGUCGACGAUUGAAUGCUCAGCCAGUGUCUCAGCUAAUGGCAGACUUACCAUCUGAAAGGGUGAUUCCAGAUGAACCUCCAUUUACACGGGUAGGAGUAGACUAUUUUGGACCUUUCGAGGUGAGGAGCAGAAGAAGUGUUGUUAAGAGGUAUGGGGUAAUUUUUACCUGCAUGGCGUUAAGAGCAAUCCACAUUGAAGUGGCACCUUCCCUCGACACGGACGCCUUCAUAAAUGCUCUCAGACGCUUUAUAGCAAGACGUGGUCAAGUACGGGAAUUGCGCUCAGAUAAUGGGACGAAUUUUAGGGGAGCAGAACACGAAUUGAAAACAUCCAUUGAGCAGUGGAAUCAGGCACAGAUUAAUGAUGUCCUCCUUCAGAAAGGGAUAAAAUGGACUUUUAAUCCCCCAGCUGGCUCCCAUCAUGGAGGUUCUUGGGAGAGGUUAAUUCGAUCAGUCCGUAAAGUCCUCAACUCCACCUUGAAUGUGCAAAGUUUGGAUGAAGAAGGCCUUCAUACAGUUCUCUGUGAGGUGGAAGCCAUUAUCAAUGGCCGACCGAUUACAAAAGCUUCCAUGGAUCCUCAUGACCUGGAAGCAUUGACGCCUAAUCACCUGCUGCUUUUGAAGGCAUUACCAUCUUUGCCACCAGGAGUCUUCCAGGAGGCCGACAUGUACGCACGCAGGCGAUGGAAGCAGGUCCAGUACAUGUCAGACCUGUUCUGGAAAAGAUGGGUUAAGGAGUACCUGCCUCAAUUGCAGGAGCGGCAGAGAUGGUCAGGAGUGAAGCGCAACCUUGUUCCUGGAGAUCUGGUGCUUAUAGUGGACAGCACAGCACCUCGUAACUCCUGGGUCAUGGGACGAGUCCUACAAACCUUUCCGGAUAGAAGGGGCUUUGUGCGUCAGGUGCGCAUCAAAACUAAGAGUAGCUGCCUGAACCGGCCUAUAACCAAGGUCUGUCUGCUGCAGGAGGCCGAUGCUGGAUGUGGGGAGGCUGUUAGGGAUGACAAUACCUAG
This is a long non-coding RNA of Gadus morhua (Atlantic cod), 2982 nucleotides long. NCBI's taxonomy places the organism in Eukaryota, Metazoa, Chordata, Actinopteri, Gadiformes, Gadidae. The record is from Ensembl.